CAAUUAAUGAUGAUGGACUGUAAAUCCUUUUUAGAAUCUAAAUUAAUAACAUCCC
This 55-nucleotide transfer RNA is filed under the name Tetragnatha maxillosa. RNAcentral describes it as "tRNA-Tyr". Lineage: Eukaryota; Metazoa; Arthropoda; Arachnida; Araneae; Tetragnathidae. The record is from RNAcentral.